UCCCCCGUCCCCUGCUCCCUUUCUUACACAAGGCGGCAGGUUAUCUCAGGCUUCUUAAGCCGUGACGAGAAAAUCAAGCUUAAGAAACUUUUCAAGGAAACACAAGUGAGAAGUAGCCAAUCUGGGAUUCAAGUUACCUGACUAGAAACCUAUGCUUUUUCUACUACAUCCACAUUUAAAAAGCCUCACAAACUUGAAAAGUGCAUGUUAAUUUAUCCGAGCAAUAUUUUGUGUCUUAAGACUUCCUCUCCAUUAAUCUAUGUUAAAGAAGAAAGGAAUGAAAGUGGACCUCUAUCUUACACUAUCUACAAAAAUAAAUUCAAAAUGGAUUAAAGGCAUGCAAUGUAAGAAUUGAAACCAUGAUACCCCUUAAAGAAAACAUAGGCAAUAAGCUCUUUCAAAUCAUUAUGUUGUACACUUUGAAACUAACAUGUUAA
Molecule: long non-coding RNA, 437 nt
Organism: Suricata suricatta (meerkat)
Lineage: Eukaryota; Metazoa; Chordata; Mammalia; Carnivora; Herpestidae
Exons: 3
Source: RefSeq, a predicted model, not a curated record